GGUUAAGCGACUAAGCGUACACGGUGGAUGCCCUGGCAGUCAGAGGCGAUGAAGGACGUGCUAAUCUGCGAUAAGCGUCGGUAAGGUGAUAUGAACCGUUAUAACCGGCGAUUUCCGAAUGGGGAAACCCAGUGUGUUUCGACACACUAUCAUUAACUGAAUCCAUAGGUUAAUGAGGCGAACCGGGGAACUGAAACAUCUAAGUACCCUGAGGAAAAGAAAUCAACCGAGAUUCCCCCAGUAGCGGCGAGCGAACGGGGAGCAGCCCAGAGCCUGAAUCAGUGUGUGUGUUAGUGGAAGCGUCUGGAAAGGCGCGCGAUACAGGGUGACAGCCCCGUACACAAAAAUGCACAUGCUGUGAGCUCGAUGAGUAGGGCGGGACACGUGGUAUCCUGUCUGAAUAUGGGGGACCAUCCUCCAAGGCUAAAUACUCCUGACUGACCGAUAGUGAACCAGUACCGUGAGGGAAAGGCGAAAAGAACCCCGGCGAGGGGAGUGAAAAAGAACCUGAAACCGUGUACGUACAAGCAGUGGGAGCACGCUUAGGCGUGUGACUGCGUACCUUUGUAUAAUGGGUCAGCGACUUAUAUUCUGUAGCAAGGUUAACCGAAUAGGGGAGCCGAAGGGAAACCGAGUCUUAACUGGGCGUUAAGUUGCAGGGUAUAGACCCGAAACCCGGUGAUCUAGCCAUGGGCAGGUUGAAGGUUGGGUAACACUAACUGGAGGACCGAACCGACUAAUGUUGAAAAAUUAGCGGAUGACUUGUGGCUGGGGGUGAAAGGCCAAUCAAACCGGGAGAUAGCUGGUUCUCCCCGAAAGCUAUUUAGGUAGCGCCUCGUGAAUUCAUCUCCGGGGGUAGAGCACUGUUUCGGCAAGGGGGUCAUCCCGACUUACCAACCCGAUGCAAACUGCGAAUACCGGAGAAUGUUAUCACGGGAGACACACGGCGGGUGCUAACGUCCGUCGUGAAGAGGGAAACAACCCAGACCGCCAGCUAAGGUCCCAAAGUCAUGGUUAAGUGGGAAACGAUGUGGGAAGGCCCAGACAGCCAGGAUGUUGGCUUAGAAGCAGCCAUCAUUUAAAGAAAGCGUAAUAGCUCACUGGUCGAGUCGGCCUGCGCGGAAGAUGUAACGGGGCUAAACCAUGCACCGAAGCUGCGGCAGCGACGCUGAUGCGUUGUUGGGUAGGGGAGCGUUCUGUAAGCCUGCGAAGGUGUGCUGUGAGGCAUGCUGGAGGUAUCAGAAGUGCGAAUGCUGACAUAAGUAACGAUAAAGCGGGUGAAAAGCCCGCUCGCCGGAAGACCAAGGGUUCCUGUCCAACGUUAAUCGGGGCAGGGUGAGUCGACCCCUAAGGCGAGGCCGAAAGGCGUAGUCGAUGGGAAACAGGUUAAUAUUCCUGUACUUGGUGUUACUGCGAAGGGGGACGGAGAAGGCUAUGUUGGUACGGGCGACGGUUGUCCCGGUUUAAGCGUGUAGGCUGGUUUUCCAGGCAAAUCCGGAAAAUCAAGGCUGAGGCGUGAUGACGAGGCACUACGGUGCUGAAGCAACAAAUGCCCUGCUUCCAGGAAAAGCCUCUAAGCAUCAGGUAACAUCAAAUCGUACCCCAAACCGACACAGGUGGUCAGGUAGAGAAUACCAAGGCGCUUGAGAGAACUCGGGUGAAGGAACUAGGCAAAAUGGUGCCGUAACUUCGGGAGAAGGCACGCUGAUAUGUAGGUGAAGUCCCUUGCGGAUGGAGCUGAAAUCAGUCGAAGAUACCAGCUGGCUGCAACUGUUUAUUAAAAACACAGCACUGUGCAAACACGAAAGUGGACGUAUACGGUGUGACGCCUGCCCGGUGCCGGAAGGUUAAUUGAUGGGGUUAGCGCAAGCGAAGCUCUUGAUCGAAGCCCCGGUAAACGGCGUACCGUAACUAUAACGGUCCUAAGGUAGCGAAAUUCCUUGUCGGGUAAGUUCCGACCUGCACGAAUGGCGUAAUGAUGGCCAGGCUGUCUCCACCCGAGACUCAGUGAAAUUGAACUCGCUGUGAAGAUGCAGUGUACCCGCGGCAAGACGGAAAGACCCCGUGAACCUUUACUAUAGCUUGACACUGAACAUUGAGCCUUGAUGUGUAGGAUAGGUGGGAGGCUUUGAAGUGUGGACGCCAGUCUGCAUGGAGCCGACCUUGAAAUACCACCCUUUAAUGUUUGAUGUUCUAACGUGGACCCGUGAUCCGGGUUGCGGACAGUGUCUGGUGGGUAGUUUGACUGGGGCGGUCUCCUCCUAAAGAGUAACGGAGGAGCACGAAGGUUGGCUAAUCCUGGUCGGACAUCAGGAGGUUAGUGCAAUGGCAUAAGCCAGCUUGACUGCGAGCGUGACGGCGCGAGCAGGUGCGAAAGCAGGUCAUAGUGAUCCGGUGGUUCUGAAUGGAAGGGCCAUCGCUCAACGGAUAAAAGGUACUCCGGGGAUAACAGGCUGAUACCGCCCAAGAGUUCAUAUCGACGGCGGUGUUUGGCACCUCGAUGUCGGCUCAUCACAUCCUGGGGCUGAAGUAGGUCCCAAGGGUAUGGCUGUUCGCCAUUUAAAGUGGUACGCGAGCUGGGUUUAGAACGUCGUGAGACAGUUCGGUCCCUAUUUGCCGUGGGCGCUGGAGAACUGAGGGGGCUGCUCCUAGUACGAGAGGACCGGAGUGGACGCAUCACUGGUGUUCGGGUUGUCAUGCCAAUGGCACUGCCCGGUAGCUAAAUGCGGAAGAGAUAAGUGCUGAAAGCAUCUAAGCACGAAACUUGCCCCGAGAUGAGUUCUCCCUGACUCCUUGAGAGUCCUGAAGGAACGUUGAAGACGACGACGUUGAUAGGCCGGGUGUGUAAGCGCAGCGAUGCGUUGAGCUAACCGGUACUAAUGAACCGUGAGGCUUAACCUU
RNAcentral lists this ribosomal RNA (2901 nucleotides) under Escherichia coli. RNAcentral describes it as "23S ribosomal RNA". It matches the Rfam family "Bacterial large subunit ribosomal RNA". The record is from RNAcentral. Lineage: Bacteria; Pseudomonadati; Pseudomonadota; Gammaproteobacteria; Enterobacterales; Enterobacteriaceae.